RNAcentral lists this ribosomal RNA (403 nucleotides) under bacterium. RNAcentral's name for it is "partial 16S ribosomal RNA". It matches the Rfam family "Bacterial small subunit ribosomal RNA", at positions 355 to 776 of the family's 1533-position model. The record is from RNAcentral.
UGGGGAAUCUUGCACAAUGGGGGAAACCCUGAUGCAGCGACGCCGCGUGAGCGAUGAAGGUUUUCGAAUCGUAAAGCUCUGUCCUAUGGGAAGAUAAUGACGGUACCAUAGGAGGAAGCCCCGGCUAACUACGUGCCAGCAGCCGCGGUAAUACGUAGGGGGCGAGCGUUGUCCGGAAUUACUGGGCGUAAAGGGUUCGCAGGCGGCAUGACAAGUCCGAUGUAAAAGGCGAAAGCUCAACUUUCGUAAGCAUCGGAAACUGUCAAGCUUGAGUGAAGGAGAGGCAAGUGGAAUUCCUAGUGUAGCGGUGGAAUGCGUAGAUAUUAGGGGGAAUACCGGUGGCGAAGGCGACUUGCUGGACUUCAACUGACGCUGAGGAACGAAAGCGUGGGUAGCAAACAGG